GGGGGCACGUAACCUCCAUCCACACACCGGCUGCCCGGAUACAGGGCUAUAUUUAGAUUGACCUAUGUUGUUGUUGACGCGUGACCUAUGCAAAUGUAGCACUUGUUAACUCAAUGUCCAUUCACUCUUGAAACAAGUAGGUCCAUAGUUUUAGAGGGUUUCUUCUACAUUUUCUUAUUAUAAUUGUAUAAGAAUGACAAUAAUGUCUAGGUGGAAGUUCCUUUGAGUAUAUUAUGUCAUUUACGGGUGUAAGUAAUCCGUAACAGCAUUUUGUUGAGGGUGCAAUAAUAUUUUAGAGACACUUGGUGAUGUGUCCGCAUCGUGCGGGAGCGCGCGAAACAGGCACUGCUUGUCUUCCAACUUUUGGACGGCAGUCACUUAUUUUGUAGCCGGGAUUUUCUCGGUGAGAAUUCACCUUUCCUUUGCUGUUUGCCAGCAUAAUCAUGUGCUGAGUGGGAAGGUGGGCGCCUCUGGAACCUGUGGCAAUAUGUAGGCGCGGUCUACUGUGAGACCUUCAUUUAUUGCACCUGGGGAUCUUUACUACACGGGAUCUUUACUAUACGGGAUCUUUACUAUACGGGAUCUUUACUAUACGGGAUCUUUACUAUACGGGAUCUUUACUAUACGGGAUCUUUACUAUACGUGAUCUUUUGCCUGGUGAUCUGUCUUUGCAUCGUGACCGGGAUCCACACACAUAGCACAUAUACUGGGGAAGUUUUGGGAUCAACAUCUGUUCAUCAUGUUCAUUAACUGCAACUGAUCUAAUUAACUCAUUGGUUAUUCUACUGAUUUGCUGAUGAUUGAAUAAAUUCUCUAUUAAUCGCUGAAAUUGAACUGAACUGGUGAUUCCGUGUGAUUCCAUCUGGGGCAGCCUCCAACACACUUAUCCUGAUUUAGUUUGGGAUCAAACUCCCUCAUCAUGCUGUGACACCGCAGUAUUCAAAUCACUUCAAAAAUGGCGACGAGGAUGGGAUGGAGUGUGUUGCUUGUUGAUCUCGUCGUGAUCCUUCAUCAUCGGUCAUCAAAUUCAAAGAUCCCCUGGUGCACGUUUCAACCUUUCAAGUCCUGCGACUGUGGAGGAUGUGGCUACUGAUGUCCUUCAGUGGGAGAUCUGUAAAUCGGCAGUUUUCUCAAAUUUUGUAUGUAUUUUUACAUGUUUAUUGCACACGUGUAUAACCCGUUUACAGUGAUGGUCUUUGUGCAUUGUUUAUAUGAACCCAUUUUUUAUUGACAUAUUUAGCUGCCUUUGUCAAUAGAAUUUUCAUGUCAAUGGUGCCCAUAGAGGAGCCGUACGUAUAUUCAUUGACCAGUUUCAUCUGUGUCUGUUUUUCAUAUUUUGAGCCAAUGUUGCAUGGUUGGUGAUUUGUAGGAUG
Molecule: long non-coding RNA, 1373 nt
Organism: Patiria miniata (bat star)
Lineage: Eukaryota; Metazoa; Echinodermata; Asteroidea; Valvatida; Asterinidae
Exons: 2
Source: RefSeq, a predicted model, not a curated record